UACGUAGGGUGCGAGCGUUAAUCGGAAUUACUGGGCGUAAAGCGUGCGCAGGCGGUUUUGUAAGCCAGAUGUGAAAGCCCCGGGCUUAACCUGGGAAUGGCAUUUGGGACUGCAAGGCUUGAGUGCGGCAGAGGAGACUGGAAUUCCUGGUGUAGCAGUGAAAUGCGUAGAUAUCAGGAGGAAUACCGAUGGCGAAGGCAGCCUCCUGGGCCAGCACUGACGCUCAUGCACGAAAGCGUGGGGAGCAAACAGG
This 253-nucleotide ribosomal RNA is filed under the name uncultured bacterium. Its description in RNAcentral is "partial 16S ribosomal RNA". It matches the Rfam family "Bacterial small subunit ribosomal RNA", at positions 524 to 776 of the family's 1533-position model. The record is from RNAcentral.